GUGGGGAAUAUUCCGCAAUGGGCGCAAGCCUGACGGAGCAACGCCGCGUGAAUGAAGACGGUCUUCGGAUUGUAAAGUUCUGUCAUUAGGGACGAAGGACUCAUGUAAAUAAUAUGAGGAAUGACGGUACCUAAGGAGGAAGCUCCGGCUAACUACGUGCCAGCAGCCGCGGUAAUACGUAGGGAGCAAGCGUUGUCCGGAAUUACUGGGCGUAAAGGGCGCGUAGGCGGAUAAUUAAGUCAGAUGUGAAAUCUCCAGGCUUAACUUGGAGCGUGCAUUUGAAACUGGUUAUCUUGAGGGCAGGAGAGGAAAGUGGAAUUCCUAGUGUAGCGGUGAAAUGCGUAGAUAUUAGGAGGAACACCAGUGGCGAAGGCGACUUUCUGGACUGAACCUGACGCUGAGGCGCGAAAGCAUGGGGAGCGAACGGGAUUAGAUACCCGAGUAGUCC
Molecule: ribosomal RNA, 448 nt
Filed under: uncultured bacterium
Lineage: Bacteria
Description: partial 16S ribosomal RNA
Rfam family: Bacterial small subunit ribosomal RNA
Source: RNAcentral